This is a long non-coding RNA of Ctenocephalides felis (cat flea), 441 nucleotides long. RefSeq lists it as uncharacterized. The record is from RefSeq and is a predicted model, not a curated record. Lineage: Eukaryota; Metazoa; Arthropoda; Insecta; Siphonaptera; Pulicidae. The transcript has 3 exons.
AUAUUUAACUUAAAUAAACAAAUUAAUUAUCUAUUUUCUAGUUUUUAAGAAGUUGCUUGAUCCAAGUCUUUGGUCAGAUGAUAUAUAUCCGAAGAAGUUGUCUUUGACAGAAGAUAGAAACAAUUGGAGUAUUCAAAAGAUUCGGGCGCACAUGUUUGCAGGCAGUCCUAAUUAAACAACAUCGGAUUUACAGUUGUCGACAUAUUAUAUUAGCCAAGCUCAAUAUAAGGCAAGGAGCGAUUUCUGUACUAGCAUUUCACUCCGCAAAAGAUGAACUUGAGUCUGGCGCCAUUGACAUUUCGCUUCCGUUGGCAGACUUGCGCCUAGUCGAGUGUCGGUGAAGAAAUUUUAUUCAACAUAAUGGAGAGCCAUGUGAAUGUUUUGCCGAACAAAAUCAUCCUACAUUUUAUAUCAAUGCAAGGUACACUGAGUAAUAACUUU